CAGAGAAACUAUUCCUUUCUUGCUCCAAAUUAAGAAGAAAAAAAUGAUCACAACAUUCUGAUGUGUCUGCAGUCGGCCGCUCUGUGUAAAGCAAGCCCCAGUAACAGUCUUCACUUUGAAUGAGUUUGCAAUCUGUCAGACUGUAACUCUCACAGGCUUGGUGUUGGCAAUUAGAUUCCUUUGGCAUGUGUCUGUAAUUUUUAGACCAAAGGUAUUGUUCAACAAAGAUUUCGGCAUCCGGAAACUUAGACUUUCUUUGAGUUGAAUUCCGAAAAACAUUUUUCUUUUUGGCUUAAUUUUCAAGUUUUUUUUUUUCUCUCUCUCUCCCAGAGUCAGUUAAAAUGUUCAGAUUGUUGUCAAAGUGUCAGUCAGCAGUUUUUGCCACAGCAGAAAGUCUUCGAUUUUCAAAGCAUAACAAACAGACUUUACAUUUGCUCUCCAGAUGUAACUGAAGCCUCAAACGCUGACAUGCUCAACAAAGCCAAAAUAAAGCCUCUCGCUGCAUCGUUACUAAGCUUGAGAAGGCCAACUUCAGUGACCCGCACCUGAGCACAGACGCACGGCCUGGGAAAGGAUGGAAAGAACCAGGCCUAGUUCAGGGGCUCACGGUGAGGCCCUGAUCGCUGCUAUCGUCUGUCUUUCAAGACCUUCAGAAGCUGCAAUUAUGCUCUCGUUUGUCAGUUGAUGAUACCAUGACAGGCCCGGCCUGUUGGCAAGAGCAGCAGCCUAAAGGCAAGUAGGAAACAACAGACAGCAAACAAAUUGUUCUGUAAUGAUCACUGAGUUAUUGCUCAACUCAGCUGCCAAAUCUGACUGUGCAUCUUAAAAGUCUUUAUUAGACAAUAAAGUAUAAUUACAGGGA
Long non-coding RNA from Leucoraja erinaceus (little skate), 862 nucleotides. RefSeq lists it as uncharacterized. The record is from RefSeq and is a predicted model, not a curated record. The transcript has 2 exons. NCBI's taxonomy places the organism in Eukaryota, Metazoa, Chordata, Chondrichthyes, Rajiformes, Rajidae.